Molecule: ribosomal RNA, 486 nt
Filed under: uncultured bacterium
Lineage: Bacteria
Description: partial 16S ribosomal RNA
Rfam family: Bacterial small subunit ribosomal RNA
Source: RNAcentral
AUUGAACGCUGGCGGCAUGCCUUACACAUGCAAGUCGAACGGCAGCACGGGUGCUUGCCCCUGGUGGCGAGUGGCGAACGGGUGAGUAAUACAUCGGAACAUGUCCUGUAGUGGGGGAUAGCCCGGCGAAAGCCGGAUUAAUACCGCAUACGAUCCACGGAUGAAAGCGGGGGACCUUCGGGCCUCGCGCUAUAGGGUUGGCCGAUGGCUGAUUAGCUAGUUGGUGGGGUAAAGGCCUACCAAGGCGACGAUCAGUAGCUGGUCUGAGAGGACGACCAGCCACACUGGGGCUGAGACACGGCCCAGACUCCUACGGGAGGCAGCAGUGGGGAAUUUUGGACAAUGGGCGAAAGCCUGAUCCAGCAAUGCCGCGUGUGUGAAGAAGGACUUCGGGUUGUAAAGCACUUUUGUCCGGAAAGAAAUCCUUGACUCUAAUACAGUCGGGGGAUGACGGUACCGGAAGAAUAAGCACCGGCUAACUACGUG